Long non-coding RNA from Hemicordylus capensis (graceful crag lizard), 700 nucleotides. RefSeq lists it as uncharacterized. The record is from RefSeq and is a predicted model, not a curated record. NCBI's taxonomy places the organism in Eukaryota, Metazoa, Chordata, Lepidosauria, Squamata, Cordylidae. The transcript is spliced from 3 exons.
GUGGCAACUGCUGCAGGGAAAAAAAGAAGGUUUUACCGAAAGUGGAAUCCUCUUGGCUGUGUUCGAAUCUAAUAUCCUGGAAUUCCCAUCAAGUAUCGAUUUGGUUUUUAGAUUAAUAGAUCAGGUUUCAUGCAUGCCACUAACUUUCUUCCCCCUUUUAUUUAUUUUUUGCUCAUUUUCGGCAGCAUGAGAGAAGAUCAAUUCCGUGCUAUAACCUUUCACCAAGAUCUGAGCCUGCCAUCUUCUCGCCACUGUAUUGGGGGAAGGGAGAAGAAUUACUCAUGGCUCUUCCUGGAAAGGAAAGGUUAUAGCAAUAAUGAAGCUGAAAAAGCUUCGGCGACGGAACAAAACUGUUUCUUUGAUAAAUCCUAGAACUGAAGAAGUGAUUGACAUUUUCUGGAACAGAAGGCACAGACUAUGUCUUGCAAAGCAUGACCCCAGUGUGUGAAUUAUGGUACAAAAGAACUCGCUGAUGAGGAGCCAAGCAGUGCUUACGCACCACCAAAUGUGGUGGUGCGUGUGAAAGACCAUGGUGAAUGAUUGAGGGUGAUGGCUAGUUGUCUUGGUAUCCUUAAAAAGUGCUGCUGUGCAGAUUUUUUGAACAAGCCAUGGGAGUUACUGAUUACCAAAAGACAGUCCUGAAACUCUAUAAUGAUUUGUCUGAGGCCUUCAAGUUUCAGAAAUUAAUUAAAAAUGAGUU